AACGAACGCUGGCGGCGCGUCUUAAACAUGCAAGUCGAACGGCAGGAAGGGGCUUGCCCCUUCUGAGAGUGGCGGACUGGUGAGUAACACGUGGGUGACAUACCUUUUAGUUGGGGAUAGCUAUUAGAAAUAGUAGGUAAUACCGAAUGUGACCGUACCUGUUAGAGGGGUACGAGGAAAGGAGCUAAGGCUUCGCUAAAAGAAUGGCUCGCGGCCCAUUAUGCUCGUUGGUGAGGUAACGGCCCACCAAGGCGAUGAUGGGUAUCCGGCCUGAGAGGGUGAACGGACACAUUGGGACUGAGAUACGGCCCAGACUUCUACGGGAGGCAGCAGUUAAGAAUAUUCCGCAAUGGACGAAAGUCUGACGGAGCGACGCCGCGUGGAUGAAGAAUGCCGAAAGGUUGUAAAAUCCUUUUAAGCCUGAUGAAUAAGCACAGUAGGGAAUGAUUGUGCGGUGACCGUAGGGCUUGAAUAAGCACCGGCUAAUUACGU
This 492-nucleotide ribosomal RNA is filed under the name uncultured bacterium. Its description in RNAcentral is "partial 16S ribosomal RNA". It matches the Rfam family "Bacterial small subunit ribosomal RNA", at positions 29 to 506 of the family's 1533-position model. The record is from RNAcentral.